Long non-coding RNA from Manduca sexta (tobacco hornworm), 2496 nucleotides. RefSeq lists it as uncharacterized. Lineage: Eukaryota; Metazoa; Arthropoda; Insecta; Lepidoptera; Sphingidae. The transcript has 2 exons. The record is from RefSeq and is a predicted model, not a curated record.
CAGAGCGUUCGAGACACAUCUUUUACAAUAUUUAUAAAAAUGCGAUUAUUCGUGAUAUUUUGUUUGCUCUUGGCUAUAAUAACGACAGUGGUGGGUGAGCAUUUGAUCAUGGGUGAUACUAAUAGUAAUCGGCAGCUAAUUCAUCACACAAUGGCGCAGUAUCAUGCCAUACCAAUGAUGAAGAGGGUGAAGAAUGUGUUUUAUAAUAAUCAGGAGCAACGAAUAAUCAGCAGCAUCAUGGCCUACGACAACCUUAAUUCAAAGGCGUCCGCUACGGUAACCGCCGGUGGCAUCGGAUUCUCCUACGUCAACAUAAGGCUCAAGAGUGAACGUGGAAAAGGAUUGGACUAUGACAUUGGGAUAUAUUCUUAAUUUUUACAAAUGUAGGGUCGAUUUUACUAUCACUGGACAGAAGUUAUUCUAAUAAAUUAUAAUCUAAGUAUAAAGGUGAACCUAUUAAAUUGUUUUGUUCAUGUAAGUUUUAAUUUGUACAUAUCGCACUUUCAGAAUGAAUACUGACAUAAUAAAAAAUGCGAUAGUGGCUUUGAUCAAUAAAACUAGCAUUUUUCUAAUUAUUGAUGAAAAUCACUGUUGCAUUUUUUCUGGCCAAAAAGUGUCCUUACUAUUUCCCCCUUUUUUGAUUCGCGUCAUUUUUAUAAUAUUACACUUCAAAAUAUUAGAUUUUAAUUGUAUAGAUGUAUGAUUGAAGCAAUAUCUUAUACACUUCAUUUAGAUUAAAAAUAAUAUAUUAAGUGCCUUUUACCAAUUUACCAAAAAAAGAAACUGAUUUUUGUAUAAUGUUAAUUUAAUUCUAAAGGUGCGAUAUUAUUAUUCUAUGAAAAACUUUUAUCUCAAGACUGAAAAGGCUCCUAGUAAGUAUUCCGAUUGACAGGCAGUUUUUUCAUGAACUGUGGAAAUAACCACUUAAGCAAAAGCCACAAGAGGUGCCACGACACAAUCGUUAAACUGUAGGCAAAAGUAACAAUAACUUUGACUUACUCUCAAUAUCUAAAGUAAAAUAUUAAGACUGAAUUGAUUCAAACAGAAGACAAUGGUGACAAAACGUUAAUUUCAAUCAAUAAAAUAAAUGUUGAUCGGAAACUCAUUCAAUAUAAAAGUGAUCAGUAUAACAUAGGAAAUUAAUGUAUUUAUAUUCUAAAUAAAACUAUUUUUUGUACGGACCAAGUGGCAGUAACGUCUUGAUUUACCCUUUUUUUUUAUUUGAAUUUGGACCUUAAAUGAAACAUCAUAGUACCUAUUAUUACUAUUAUUGUUCUUUUUUAUUUACAAUAAAAUCUUCCUUAUCAAUCUAGUGUGGCCAAUUAAAUUAAUAAGUUUGUAAAGAAUUCAUUAUAUUAUGUAAAAUGGAAUGCACCUUUUAGAUAUCUACGUCCUGCUUAUUAACAAGUUUUAUUAUGAUUCCAAUAUCUAUGUAUAAAAUGAAUUAAUAAUUGUAACUUCUAAUAGGUUGAUGUUUAUCAUUUCUUUUUUAUUUACAGUUGUAAAAAAAUUAGGUAAUUAGCGGGCAUAUCGAAAAUCAUAUUUCGAAUUUUAUAAUCUGUAUUGUCUUGACUUUGCAAAAAAUCCCCCUUUAACUAUUUUAAAUAACUACAUACACAUUCACGUCUUUUAUUUCCGAUGGAGUAGGCAGAGGCACUGAGGUACUGUACCCACGUUCCGCCGUUUGCAUCCCGUCCCAUGAUGUGAUAGGAGGAAAGUCUAUCCACAUAUCGGGCACGAAUUCCAGACUCCAGGCUGAGACUGAGCAGAGAACCCCAAUAUCAUUUUGCCCCACCCGGGAUUGAACCCGAGACCUAAGUACUGCAAUUGUACCGUAAUACAACUACGGUACUGAGGCAGUUAAAUAAACAUACAUUGUACAAAAGUCUUUAUUCCCGCUCAAUAAACUUAAAAUUAUUAAAACCCACGAUACAUUCAAUAGGACAAUAUUGGCAAUAAGCAAACACCUAAUUGCUCCAACUCUCUAUAUUCUAAUAAAACUUAUACCCAUUCACAGUUCAAUUUCAAAAAGAAACUAAGUAAUAAAUUUAUGCAUAUGUUACAUGAAGCAGGAAGCAGCAUACCCGACACGUCAAGUGGCUCCUUUCUAAUAUUUCAUAGGUAAAAAGGAAAAUUGUAUCAACGCAGAAGAGUGGGAUGUGACAGCGAAUCCAAAUUGGAGUCGACAUGCUUUUAGCGCGUCUCGGCCUUUCGAGAAUAGCGGUAGAAUAGAAUCACCGCGCCACCUCGCUCCAAGUUUUUACUACGACACAAGUUAUAAGGGUAAAGCAGGAUUUAGAAUAAUUUUGUGUUUUAUUCAAGGAUUAAAGAAAAUGUAAACAAAUGUCUAGCUUUGGAUUACCUUCUCUAUAGUUUUUGAUAAAAUUUUAAAAUGUGAAUAGGAUAUUUGAAACAGAGGUAUUCUUCGUAAUUUUUGUUUUGCUGUGAACUUGAAUGAGCGUAAAGUGAUAUAAUAAAUCUGUCUUAAGUCAUCGA